This 253-nucleotide ribosomal RNA is filed under the name uncultured prokaryote. Its description in RNAcentral is "partial 16S ribosomal RNA". It matches the Rfam family "Bacterial small subunit ribosomal RNA", at positions 524 to 776 of the family's 1533-position model. The record is from RNAcentral.
UACAGAGGGGGCAAGCGUUGUUCGGAAUUACUGGGCGUAAAGGGCGCGUAGGCGGCCUUCUAAGUCGAACGUGAAAUCCCCGGGCUCAACCCGGGAACUGCGUCCGAUACUGGAAGGCUUGAAUCCGGAAGAGGAGAGUGGAAUUCCUGGUGUAGCGGUGAAAUGCGCAGAUAUCAGGAAGAACACCCGUGGCGAAGGCGGCUCUCUGGGACGGUACUGACGCUGAGACGCGAAAGCGUGGGGAGCGAACAGG